Molecule: ribosomal RNA, 441 nt
Filed under: uncultured bacterium
Lineage: Bacteria
Description: partial 16S ribosomal RNA
Rfam family: Bacterial small subunit ribosomal RNA
Source: RNAcentral
CCUACGGGAGGCAGCAGUCGGGAAUAUUGCGCAAUGGAGGAAACUCUGACGCAGUGACGCCGCGUAUAGGAAGAAGGUUUUCGGAUUGUAAACUAUUGUCGUUAGGGAAGAUAAAAGACUGUACCUAAGGAGGAAGCCCCGGCUAACUAUGUGCCAGCAGCCGCGGUAAUACAUAGGGGGCAAGCGUUAUCCGGAAUUAUUGGGUGUAAAGGGUGCGUAGAUGGAAGAACAAGUUGGUUGUGAAAUCCCUCGGCUCAACUGAGGAACUGCAACCAAAACUAUUCUCCUUGAGUGAAGUAGAGGUUGGCGGAAUUCCGAGUGUAGCGGUGAAAUGCGUAGAUAUUCGGAGGAACACCGGUGGCGAAGGCGGCCAACUGGGCUUUAACUGACGCUGAGGCUCGAAAGUGUGGGGAGCAAACAGGAUUAGAUACCCCUGUAGUC